Molecule: ribosomal RNA, 446 nt
Filed under: uncultured bacterium
Lineage: Bacteria
Description: bacterial SSU rRNA
Rfam family: Bacterial small subunit ribosomal RNA
Source: RNAcentral
UCCAGACUCCUACGGGAGGCAGCAGUGGGGGAUAUUGCACAAUGGGGGGAACCCUGAUGCAGCGACGCCGCGUGGGUGAAGGAGCGUUUCGGCGCGUAAAGCCCUCUCGGCAGGGAAGAAGGAGGACGGUACCUGACUAAGAAGCCCCGGCUAACUACGUGCCAGCAGCCGCGGUAAUACGUAGGGGGCAAGCGUUAUCCGGAUUUACUGGGUGUAAAGGGGGCGCAGACGGCAGCGCAAGCCAGGAGUGAAAGCCCGGGGCCCAACCCCGGGACUGCUCUUGGAACUGCGCGGCUGGAGUGCAGGAGGGGCAGGCGGAAUUCCUGGUGUAGCGGUGAAAUGCGUAGAUAUUAGGAGGAACACCGGUGGCGAAGGCGGCCUGCUGGACUGUGACUGACGUUGAGGCCCGAAGGCGUGGGGAGCAAACAGGAUUAGAUACCCGGGUA